ACGCUCGACACCUACAGGAGGCAGCAGUGGGGAAUAUUGCACAAUGGGGGAAACCCUGAUGCAGCGACGCCGCGUGAGUGAAGAAGUAUUUCGGUAUGUAAAGCUCUAUCAGCAGGGAAGAAAAUGACGGUACCUGAGUAAGAAGCCCCGGCUAACUACGUGUCAGCACGCCGGACGGUAAUCUGAGGCGGGCUGGACGAAGGC
Molecule: ribosomal RNA, 204 nt
Filed under: uncultured bacterium
Lineage: Bacteria
Description: partial 16S ribosomal RNA
Rfam family: Bacterial small subunit ribosomal RNA
Source: RNAcentral